AGCAGUCGCGGUAAUUCCAGCUCCAAUAGCGUAUAUUAAAGUUGUUGCAGUUAAAAGCUCGUAGUUGAAUUUCGAGAUCAAAUUGUUGGUCGUGCCUUGGUACGCACUGGCAUUAUUGGUUUCUCCCUUCUGACGAACCAUGAUGUCAUUAAUUUGGUGUCUUGGGGAAUCAGGACUGUUACCUUGAAAAAUUAGAGUGUUUAAAGCAGGCAUUUUUGCUCGAAUACAUUAGCAUGGAAUAAUAGAAUAGGACGGCAUGGUUCUAUUUUGUUGGUUUCUAGGAUCACCGUAAUGAUUAAUAGGGAUAGUUGGGGGCAUUAGUAUUCAAUUGUCAGAGGUGAAAUUCUUGGAUUUAUUGAAGACUAACUACUGCGAAAGCAUUUGCCAAGGAUGUUUUCAUUAAUCAAGAACGAAAGUUAGGGGAUCGAAGACGAUCAGAUACCGUCGUAGUCUUAACCAUAAACUAUGCCGACUAGGGAUCGGAUGAUGUUAAUUUUUUAAUGACUCAUU
This 510-nucleotide ribosomal RNA is filed under the name uncultured Glomeromycotina. RNAcentral's name for it is "SSU rRNA". It matches the Rfam family "Eukaryotic small subunit ribosomal RNA", at positions 569 to 1080 of the family's 1831-position model. The record is from RNAcentral. Lineage: Eukaryota; Fungi; Glomeromycota.